Nycticebus coucang (slow loris) is the source of this 1049-nucleotide RNA transcript. It is a transcript of the gene named syntaxin-7-like, with no coding region annotated. The transcript has a single exon. Lineage: Eukaryota; Metazoa; Chordata; Mammalia; Primates; Lorisidae. The record is from RefSeq and is a predicted model, not a curated record.
CGGAGGAGGAAGCUGAGGAGGUCAAGGUGACUGCUUAGAAAACUACACGCCCACCAACAUCUGUUGAAAUUGGUGAAUAAACCAGACAUGUCUUACACUCCGGGAAUCGGUGGCGAUCCUGCCCAGCUGGCCCAGCGUAUCUCUUCCAACAUCCAAAAGAUCACACAGUGUUCUGUGGAAAUACAAAGAGCUCUGAACCAACUUGGAACACCUCAAGAUACACCCUAAUUGAGGCAACAGCUGCAACAGAAGCAGCGGUAUACUAACCAACUUGCCAAAGAAACAGAUAAAUACGUUAAAGAGUUUGGAUCUCUGCCCACCACGCCCAGUGAACAGCGUCAAAGGAAAAUACAAAAAGAUCGCCUAGUGGCUGAAUUCACAACAUCACUGACAAACUUCCAAAAGGUCCAGAGGCAAGCUGCUGAGAGAGAGAAAGAGUUUGUUGCUCGAGUAAGAGCCAGUUCCAGAGUAUCUGGUGGUUUUCCUGAAGAGAGCUCAAAAGAAAGGAAUCUUGUAUCCUGGGAAAGCCAAACUCAACCUCAAGUGCAGCUGCAGGAUGAAGAAAUCACAGAAGAUGACCUUCACCUUAUUCAUGAGAGAGAGUCUUCCAUCAGGCAACUUGAAGCUGAUAUUAUGGAUAUUAAUGAAAUAUUUAAAGAUUUGGGAAUGAUGAUACAUGAACAAGGAGAUGUGAUAGACAGCAUAGAAGCCAAUGUAGAAAGUGCAGAGGUACAAGUUCAGCAAGCCAACCAGCAGCUAUCACGGGCAGCAGAAUAUCAGCGCAAAUCCAGAAAAACCCUGUGCAUCAUCCUCAUUAUCGCUGUCAUUGGAGUUCUGGUUAUUGGUCUCAUCAUAUGGGGAUUGCAUAGCUAAAUUUAUCAAGAAGCACACUAUUGCGCUACAUUACCUAAAUUAUGUGGGAAGAUUCCUGUAAUUAUGGGUUUUUUAAUUAUUAUUUUAAAGCUAUUGUGAAAAGGAUGGUUCCCAUACUUUCUUAUUUUCACAAGGGGGUUCCUUUGGAUUAAAUCUGAUAUUUUCUAAUAAUGAAA